AGUGAACGCUGGCGGUAGGCCUAACACAUGCAAGUCGAACGGCAGCACAGUAAGAGCUUGCUCUUACGGGUGGCGAGUGGCGGACGGGUGAGGAAUACAUCGGAAUCUACUUUUUCGUGGGGGAUAACGUAGGGAAACUUACGCUAAUACCGCAUACGACCUACGGGUGAAAGCAGGGGAUCUUCGGACCUUGCGCGAUUGAAUGAGCCGAUGUCGGAUUAGCUAGUUGGCGGGGUAAAGGCCCACCAAGGCGACGAUCCGUAGCUGGUCUGAGAGGAUGAUCAGCCACACUGGAACUGAGACACGGUCCAGACUUCUACGGGAGGCAGCAGUGGGGAAUAUUGGACAAUGGGCGCAAGCCUGAUCCAGCCAUACCGCGUGGGUGAAGAAGGCCUUCGGGUCGUAAAGCCCUUUUGUUGGGAAAGAAAAGCAGCAGGUUAAUACCCCGCUGUUCUGACGGUACCCAAAGAAUAAGCACCGGCUAACUUCGUG
RNAcentral lists this ribosomal RNA (492 nucleotides) under uncultured bacterium. RNAcentral describes it as "partial 16S ribosomal RNA". It matches the Rfam family "Bacterial small subunit ribosomal RNA", at positions 29 to 507 of the family's 1533-position model. The record is from RNAcentral.